This 20-nucleotide non-coding RNA is filed under the name Rattus norvegicus (Norway rat). Lineage: Eukaryota; Metazoa; Chordata; Mammalia; Rodentia; Muridae. The record is from RNAcentral.
GUUGAGUCUCUGGACUGCCA